RNAcentral lists this ribosomal RNA (440 nucleotides) under uncultured bacterium. RNAcentral describes it as "partial 16S ribosomal RNA". It matches the Rfam family "Bacterial small subunit ribosomal RNA", at positions 338 to 795 of the family's 1533-position model. The record is from RNAcentral.
CCUACGGGAGGCAGCAGUGGGGAAUAUUGCACAAUGGGGGAAACCCUGAUGCCGCGACGCCGCGUGAGUGAAGAAGUAAUUCGUUAUGUAAAGCUCUAUCAGCAGGGAAGAAAAUGACGGUACCUGAGUAAGAAGACCCGGCUAACUACGUGCCAGCAGCCGCGGUAAUACGUAGGGGGCAAGCGUUAUACGGAUUUACUGGGUGUAAAGGGAGCGUAGACGGCAGUGCAAGUCUGGAGUGAAAGGCGGGGGCUCAACCCCCGGACUGCUCUGGAAACUGUACGGCUGGAGUGCAGGAGAGGUAAGUGGAAUUCCUAGUGUAGCGGUGAAAUGCGUAGAUAUUAGGAGGAACACCAGUGGCGAAGGCGGCUUACUAGACUGUAACUGACGUUGAGGCUCGAAAGCGUGGGGAGCAAACAGGAUUAGAUACCCCAGUAGUC